UACGAAGGGGGCUAGCGUUGCUCGGAAUCACUGGGCGUAAAGGGUGCGUAGGCGGGUCUUUAAGUCAGGGGUGAAAUCCUGGAGCUCAACUCCAGAACUGCCUUUGAUACUGGGGAUCUCGAGUCCGGGAGAGGUGAGUGGAACUGCGAGUGUAGAGGUGAAAUUCGUAGAUAUUCGCAAGAACACCAGUGGCGAAGGCGGCUCACUGGCCCGGUACUGACGCUGAGGUGCGAAAGCGUGGGGAGCAACGGG
Molecule: ribosomal RNA, 252 nt
Filed under: uncultured bacterium
Lineage: Bacteria
Description: partial 16S ribosomal RNA
Rfam family: Bacterial small subunit ribosomal RNA
Source: RNAcentral